GUAUCAGAAGUGCGAAUGCUGACAUAAGUAACGAUAAAGCGGGUGAAAAGCCCGCUCGCCGGAAGACCAAGGGUUCCUGUCCAACGUUAAUCGGGGCAGGGUGAGUCGACCCCUAAGGCGAGGCCGAAAGGCGUAGUCGAUGGGAAACAGGUUAAUAUUCCUGUACUUGGUGUUACUGCGAAGGGGGGACGGAGAAGGCUAUGUUGGCCGGGCGACGGUUGUCCCGGUUUAAGCGUGUAGGCUGGUUUUCCAGGCAAAUCCGGAAAAUCAAGGCUGAGGCGUGAUGACGAGGCACUACGGUGCUGAAGCAACAAAUGCCCUGCUUCCAGGAAAAGCCUCUAAGCAUCAGGUAACAUCAAAUCGUACCCCAAACCGACACAGGUGGUCAGGUAGAGAAUACCAAGGCGCUUGAGAGAACUCGGGUGAAGGAACUAGGCAAAAUGGUGCCGUAACUUCGGGAGAAGGCACGCUGAUAUGUAGGUGAAGUCCCUCGCGGAUGGAGCUGAAAUCAGUCGAAGAUACCAGCUGGCUGCAACUGUUUAUUAAAAACACAGCACUGUGCAAACACGAAAGUGGACGUAUACGGUGUGACGCCUGCCCGGUGCCGGAAGGUUAAUUGAUGGGGUCAGCGCAAGCGAAGCUCUUGAUCGAAGCCCCGGUAAACGGCGGCCGUAACUAUAACGGUCCUAAGGUAGCGAAAUUCCUUGUCGGGUAAGUUCCGACCUGCACGAAUGGCGUAAUGAUGGCCAGGCUGUCUCCACCCGAGACUCAGUGAAAUUGAACUCGCUGUGAAGAUGCAGUGUACCCGCGGCAAGACGGAAAGACCCCGUGAACCUUUACUAUAGCUUGACACUGAACAUUGAGCCUUGAUGUGUAGGAUAGGUGGGAGGCUUUGAAGUGUGGACGCCAGUCUGCAUGGAGCCGGCCUUGAAAUACCACCCUUUAAUGUUUGAUGUUCUAACGUUGACCCGUUAUCCGGGUUGCGGACAGUGUCUGGUGGGUAGUUUGACUGGGGCGGUCUCCUCCUAAAGAGUAACGGAGGAGCACGAAGGUUGGCUAAUCCUGGUCGGACAUCAGGAGGUUAGUGCAAUGGCAUAAGCCAGCUUGACUGCGAGCGUGACGGCGCGAGCAGGUGCGAAAGCAGGUCAUAGUGAUCCGGUGGUUCUGAAUGGAAGGGCCAUCGCUCAACGGAUAAAAGGUACUCCGGGGAUAACAGGCUGAUACCGCCCAAGAGUUCAUAUCGACGGCGGUGUUUGGCACCUCGAUGUCGGCUCAUCACAUCCUGGGGCUGAAGUAGGUCCCAAGGGUAUGGCUGUUCGCCAUUUAAAGUGGUACGCGAGCUGGGUUUAGAACGUCGUGAGACAGUUCGGUCCCUAUCUGCCGUGGGCGCUGGAGAACUGAGGGGGGCUGCUCCUAGUACGAGAGGACCGGAGUGGACGCAUCACUGGUGUUCGGGUUGUCAUGCCAAUGGCACUGCCCGGUAGCUAAAUGCGGAAGAGAUAAGUGCUGAAAGCAUCUAAGCACGAAACUUGCCCCGAGAUGAGUUCUCCCUGACUCCUUGAGAGUCCUGAAGGAACGUUGAAGACGACGACGUUGAUAGGCCGGGUGUGUAAGCGCAGCGAUGCGUUGAGCUAACCGGUACUAAUGAACCGUGAG
RNAcentral lists this ribosomal RNA (1656 nucleotides) under Escherichia coli. RNAcentral's name for it is "partial 23S ribosomal RNA". It matches the Rfam family "Bacterial large subunit ribosomal RNA", at positions 1279 to 2915 of the family's 2925-position model. Lineage: Bacteria; Pseudomonadati; Pseudomonadota; Gammaproteobacteria; Enterobacterales; Enterobacteriaceae. The record is from RNAcentral.